This 484-nucleotide ribosomal RNA is filed under the name uncultured bacterium. RNAcentral describes it as "partial 16S ribosomal RNA". It matches the Rfam family "Bacterial small subunit ribosomal RNA", at positions 29 to 507 of the family's 1533-position model. The record is from RNAcentral.
AUUGAACGCUGGCGGAAUGCUUUACACAUGCAAGUCGAACGGCAGCACGGGGGCAGCCCUGGUGGCGAGUGGCGAACGGGUGAGUAAUACAUCGGAACGUGCCCGGUCGUGGGGGAUAACGUAGCGAAAGUUACGCUAAUACCGCAUACGAUCUGAGGAAGAAAGCGGGGGACCUUCGGGCCUCGCGCGAUCGGAGCGGCCGAUGUCAGAUUAGGUAGUUGGUGGGGUAAAGGCCUACCAAGCCGACGAUCUGUAGCUGGUCUGAGAGGACGACCAGCCACACUGGGACUGAGACACGGCCCAGACUCCUACGGGAGGCAGCAGUGGGGAAUUUUGGACAAUGGGCGCAAGCCUGAUCCAGCCAUUCCGCGUGCAGGACGAAGGCCUUCGGGUUGUAAACUGCUUUUGUACGGAACGAAAAGGCUCUGGCUAAUACCUGGGGCUCAUGACGGUACCGUAAGAAUAAGCACCGGCUAACUACGUG